AGGGGCGGAUGUACCCAAGUGGAUAAAGGCAGGGGAUUGGGA
Molecule: transfer RNA, 42 nt
Filed under: Cleomella serrulata
Lineage: Eukaryota; Viridiplantae; Streptophyta; Magnoliopsida; Brassicales; Cleomaceae
Description: partial tRNA-His
Source: RNAcentral